AACCGCCCGUCCCCAGCCCGCGGGGGUCGCGGUGCUCCGCGGGUGGGAGCCGGCCGCGGUGUCUGCCCGCAGCACUGAGCAGUGGACCUGCCUUUGCGCGUGCAUCGUAGAAUCAGAGAAUGGCUUGAGUUGAGAAAGACCCUAAAGAUCAGUCCUGUUGUUCCAACUCCCUGCCCUGGGCAGCAACACCUUCCACCAGACCAGGUUGCUCAGAGCCCCAUCUGACCCGGCCUUGAACGCAGCCAGGGAUGUGGCAUCCACAGUUUCUCUGGGUGAACCUGUGCCAGAGGUGUAUCUAGUACUGAACUCCCACUACUAGAGAACUGCUGUAAAAAUAUCAUAAAAGAGAAACAGGCUUUUGAAAGGCUGGAAGUCAACAAGGAGACCCUGUUAGACAUGUUUAAGUAUAACAACUUUUAACUGUCAUAUCCCUAAUGAGAAGGUGAAGACACCAACUACCACAAUAUACAGGUAAAGAAAUAUGCUUCUAAGAUAUUUUAUUUUUAUAGUUAGUUUAUUUAAAUUGAGACAGGAAUAAAUUGGGUUUUUGUUUUAGGUUUUUUUUAUUUUUAUUCUAACUUCCAAAUUCUUGUGUGGUUGGGACUUAGGUUUGCAAUUAAUAUUGCUACUUUUGUAAAACGAGGUAUUUUCUUUCUCUACUGGGACAGAUUAGGUCUCAAUUUGUGGACAAAUGGCAAAUCCAGUUUUUAUUCAUUCCCUCUCAUUUCAGUAAACUGAUUAAAAUAAGUUACCACCCCAGACAUUGGAUUGGUGCAUAGUGGGUAACACUAACUCUCAGCUUAUUGGGGGGUGAGGAACCUGCUUAUUUAGUUGCUCAUUCCAAUCAGUUGGUUGGAAAAUAGCAAAACCAUUUUUCUGUUUGAUAUGCAUAGUUUGAAAUUUCCUGGCCAGCUUUAACAAAGUUCACAUAUGGAACUAUAUGAGUUGGUGAGUGUGUUAUGAUGGUCUUGAUAAUAGAUCAGCUGUGCUGAGCAUUUACUGAGAGAAUAUUUCACUUCAGGUAGAAGGCACAGUUACAUUUAUGGAGCACUGAAUGUGCUGCACAUUGCAUAUUCAUAUUUAGUACCGUGUCAAGCACGGUGGAAUGUGUCAAG
Lepidothrix coronata (blue-crowned manakin) is the source of this 1115-nucleotide long non-coding RNA. RefSeq lists it as uncharacterized. NCBI's taxonomy places the organism in Eukaryota, Metazoa, Chordata, Aves, Passeriformes, Pipridae. The transcript is spliced from 3 exons. The record is from RefSeq and is a predicted model, not a curated record.